This 948-nucleotide long non-coding RNA is filed under the name Linum usitatissimum (flax). RNAcentral's name for it is "long non-coding RNA (LUSI_LNC004946)". Lineage: Eukaryota; Viridiplantae; Streptophyta; Magnoliopsida; Malpighiales; Linaceae. The record is from RNAcentral.
CCCUCUAACCCUAAGUUGCGUAAUGAAUUUUGGUUCAUUUCCAAUUUCCCAUCCGCAGCGCGAUGCGGCAUUUUCUCUCAACCCUAACCCCAAUCCCUACGAAUUCUCCUCAAUUCUCUCGCUUUGCCUCUCAAUUCUAGGGAAUUCCGGCAAGAAUCCCGACUUUGAUUCACCAAAUAAGCAGAUUAUGCAAUGAAUCUGUUAAAACCUAGCCUAUUGUUCAUCGAAUCUUCAUCUUCUCCUUUGUGCAUGCGUCUAUGAAUACUCUAAACCUAGCCUAUUGUUUUUCAUCCCAGAUUCACAAGAGCAGAGUAAGAAGAAGGAGUUAAGGAGCAUUAUCAGCAAGCCAGCAUGUGUAAGUGUUCUAGGGGUUUUUUAUUGUCUACGUUUUUUGCUUGUCUUGUAAUCAAUUUCUAACUUGUAUUUUGCUUUUGAUAUAUGAUUAUUCAGGGUUGUACGGUCUUCAAGUUCCAUACUUGCAGUCGGAGUGGAACAAACUUGGAAUUGAAGAUGAAACAAGUUUGAUGCUGCUUGGUCUUGCUGAUAUGUGAAUUUGUGUUCUGCAAUUCUUCUUGAAGUUUGAUUCUGCAUUUCAGAUGCAUCAUUGAUGCUUUUAUUUACUUUCUACUUAUUCUAUUUUGAUUAGAAGUUGGAACUUUGAAGACUUAAGUAUUAAACACACUCAUGCUAUAAUUCUGUUCAAGACAAUGCAGUUUUUGUUCAAUUCUUAGAUUCUGUUACAUUUAUUAUUAUUCUUUUACUACUAACGGUUUUAAUCCCUUUUUGUCGGAUCGUACCCGCUACCUAUGGGAUCCGGGGUGGAACUGAAAAUGGGCCCGGUAAUACUUGUGGGGCGGAUUCCGGGAAACCCGGAAUGGGCCGAGGGUGGCUAUCCAGCAUCGAUUCGAUCCAUUGACAAGCCUAGAUAAAAUAGUAGGACUCCUCCUC